CUAACUGCAACUCUUGAAUUUGAUUUAAAAAAAAAAGCAAUCAAAAAGUCACAUUGAAAAAACAAUGGUACUGUUAAAAACUACAGGCCUCAUACAGGCCCUAUAUAAGGAGAAAUAAAAAAAAAGUUAUAGGGGUCAGAAUAGGACAAAAUUUCCCCCAAAUAUGUGUAUCCUGUAAUGUAUGAAACAAAUAUAAUGCACCCACAGAAAGUAGCGCCAUUUUAAUAAAGCUUACAGAAUAAUCCCUUAGAUAACAGUCAUGCAGAAUAUGUUAAAAAGCUUUUUUAGGUUUCAGCCAAUCAGAGAGCAGCACUGCAGAAAUAGAACUCCCAGGAGGUAACAGCGUGUCACACAUGUGAUGUCAUAACCAUUGUCCACCAGAGAGCAGCACUGAGCAGAUAUAACACGGCUCCUGCUCAUUCUCCAUCAUCGAGGGGCUGAUGCUGGACACGGUAGGGACGCGGGAAUGUGAAGUCAAAAACAUGACUGUGACUGAUGCACUAUUUCCAGCAUGUGGAGUAGCAUUUCUGGACUUACAGAAGACGUUGGAUGACGGCCGAGAUUUCCGGACCUACAGCAAGGAGUUGGAUGAAGGCACAGCCCCUCGAAUCACGAACAUACACUGACACAUUGGCCCAAAUUCUAGAGGUAACCUCCUUUAGUAUGCCCAGAGGAAGGGCAAUACAGUAGCCAUGGAUUCCCUACAGGUUUCCUCCCCGCUGGAGGUUUUUCCUGUCCUGAGUUAGUUACUGUCCGCUCUUUGUGAGUGAUGGAGGUUACAUAAAAGCCCUACACAAACAUUUUUAUAAAUAAUAAAUAAAGUUUCCCCUUUUUUAAUCGUU
This is a long non-coding RNA of Hyla sarda, 842 nucleotides long. RefSeq lists it as uncharacterized. The record is from RefSeq and is a predicted model, not a curated record. The transcript is spliced from 2 exons. NCBI's taxonomy places the organism in Eukaryota, Metazoa, Chordata, Amphibia, Anura, Hylidae.